This 253-nucleotide ribosomal RNA is filed under the name uncultured bacterium. RNAcentral describes it as "partial 16S ribosomal RNA". It matches the Rfam family "Bacterial small subunit ribosomal RNA", at positions 524 to 776 of the family's 1533-position model. The record is from RNAcentral.
UACGUAGGGCGCAAGCGUUAUCCGGAAUUAUUGGGCGUAAAGAGCUCGUAGGCGGUUUGUCGCGUCUGCCGUGAAAGUCCGGGGCUCAACUCCGGAUCUGCGGUGGGUACGGGCAGACUAGAGUGAUGUAGGGGAGACUGGAAUUCCUGGUGUAGCGGUGGAAUGCGCAGAUAUCAGGAGGAACACCGGUGGCGAAGGCGGGUCUCUGGGCAUUAACUGACGCUGAGGAGCGAAAGCAUGGGGAGCGAACAGG